This 183-nucleotide non-coding RNA is filed under the name Geomonas oryzisoli. Its description in RNAcentral is "Geomonas sp. RG10 6S RNA". It matches the Rfam family "6S / SsrS RNA". From Rfam's summary of the family: E. coli 6S RNA was the first non coding RNA to be sequenced, but its function was unknown until recently. It consists of 184 nucleotides that fold into an extended hairpin structure with a large single-stranded internal bulge. The 6S RNA specifically associates with RNA polymerase holoenzyme containing the sigma70 specificity factor. The record is from RNAcentral. Lineage: Bacteria; Pseudomonadati; Thermodesulfobacteriota; Desulfuromonadia; Geobacterales; Geobacteraceae.
CUCUCUCUGCCGUGCCCGUGAAGGUUAUUAACGCCCCUGCGGAAUAAUUUAUUGUACGGGAGCCUGUUUCGACCGUGGUGAGCUGCCCCAUUGCGCGGGAAUUGCCUAAAGCGGUCUACAGGAGCCCACCUGAAUGGGAACUCGCUGUGAGGCCCCCCAACCGAACGACAGGGCGGAGAGAGC